UUACGAGCAGCAGUGGAAUUUCGGACAAUGGGGGAAACCCUGAUCCAGCCAUCCCGCGUGCGAUGAAGGCCUUCGGGUUGUAAAGCACUUUUGGCAGGGAGGCAAAACGGCACGGGAUAAUACCUCGCAACCGACGGCAGGCUCCAGAAUAAGCACCGCUAACCACGCCAGCAGCUGCGGUAAUAGUCGUAGGGUGCAAGCGUUAAUCGAAUUACUGGGCGGAAGCGUGCGCAGGCGGUUCGGAAAGAGAUGUGAAAUCCCAGAGCUUAACUUUUGGAAAUCCGCAUUUUUAACUACCGAGCCGAGGUUGAGGGAGGUGGAAUCUGCGUGUAGCAGUGAAAUGCGUAGAUAUGCGGAGUGAACACCGAUGGCGUGAAGGCAGCCUCCUUGAUAACACUGACGCUCAUGCACGAAAGCGUGGAGCAAACAGGAUUAGAUACCCCAGGUUCUACGCCUUAAACGAUGUCAACUAGCUGUUAGCCUGGCCUGGUAGCGCAGCUAACGCGUGAAGUUGACCGCCUGGGGAGUACGGUCGCAAGAUUAAACUCAAAGGAAUUUGACGGGGACUCCGCAUGCCGUGGAUGAUGCGGAUUAAUUCGAUGCAACGCGAAAAACCUUACCUUACCUUGACAUGUCUGGAAUCCCGAAGAGAUUUGGGAGUGCUCGCAAGAGAACCGGAACACAGGUGCUGCAUGGCUGUCGUCAGCUCGUGUCGAGAUGUUGGGUUAAGUCCCGCAACGAGCGCAACCUUGUCAUUAGUUGCUACGAAAGGGCACUCUAAUGAGACUGCCGGUGACAAACUGAGGAAGGUGGGGAUGACGUCAAGUCCCUGCGGCCUUAUGGGUAGGCUUCACAUUGUCAUACAAUGGUCGGACAGAGGUCGCCAACCCGCGAGGGGGAGCCAAUCCCAGAAACCCGAUCGUAGUCCGGAUCGCAGUCUGCAACUCGACCGGUGCGGAAGUCGGAAUCGCUAGUAAUCGCGGAUCAGCAUGUGAAUACGUUCCCGGUCUGUACACACUACCCGUCACACCAUGGGGAGUGGGUUUUACCAGAAGGGAAGCUAGCCGAACGCAGGAGGGCGAUUAAUACGGUAGGAUUCAUGACUGGGGUGCUCGCACAAUAGCCCUCACAUACCUACGC
This 1140-nucleotide unclassified non-coding RNA is filed under the name uncultured Bordetella sp. Its description in RNAcentral is "partial 16S-23S ribosomal RNA intergenic spacer". It matches the Rfam family "Bacterial small subunit ribosomal RNA", at positions 339 to 1533 of the family's 1533-position model. Lineage: Bacteria; Pseudomonadati; Pseudomonadota; Betaproteobacteria; Burkholderiales; Alcaligenaceae. The record is from RNAcentral.